UACGUAGGUGGCGAGCGUUGUCCGGAUUUACUGGGCGUAAAGGGAGCGUAGGCGGACUUUUAAGUGAGAUGUGAAAUACCCGGGCUUAACUUGGUGCUGCAUUUCAAACUGGAAGUCUAGAGUGCAGGAGAGGAGAAUGGAAUUCCUAGUGUAGCGGUGAAAUGCGUAGAGAUUAGGAAGAACACCAGUGGCGAAGGCGAUUCUCUGGACUGUAACUGACGCUGAGGCUCGAAAAGCGUGGGGAGGCAGACAGGAUUAGAUACCCCGUACGU
Molecule: ribosomal RNA, 272 nt
Filed under: uncultured prokaryote
Description: partial 16S ribosomal RNA
Rfam family: Bacterial small subunit ribosomal RNA
Source: RNAcentral